Molecule: ribosomal RNA, 253 nt
Filed under: uncultured bacterium
Lineage: Bacteria
Description: partial 16S ribosomal RNA
Rfam family: Bacterial small subunit ribosomal RNA
Source: RNAcentral
UACGUAGGGAGCAAGCGUUGUUCGGAUUCACUGGGUUUAAAGGGUGCGUAGGUGGGUUGGUAAGUCAGUGGUGAAAUCCCCGAGCUUAACUUGGGAACUGCCAUUGAUACUAUCAGUCUUGAAUACCGUGGAGGUCGGCGGAAUAUGUCAUGUAGCGGUGAAAUGCUUAGAUAUGACAUAGAACACCAAUUGCGAAGGCAGCUGACUACGCGAGUAUUGACACUGAGGCACGAAAGCGUGGGGAUCAAACAGG